AUUCAAUUUGAUUUCUAUCCCAACCAAAUUAUACUGUCGAGCUUGAAUUAUCGUUUCUAGUCCCAAUCUUCAAAAACGCGAGGAGAGAGAGGGAACAUGGAAAGCACCGGGUGGCCUUGACCGUGUUUGUGUGUCCUGUUACCAGCCAAUGCCGCAUUCUCUAUAUUUCCAGCACAGGAUAUUAAUUCAUUAUUCAAUGAUUAUGAACCGUAACUGGGCUUUCAAAACAUUAUCUAUGAUGUUAAAUCAUUUUAUCAGAAUGUAGAAACAUGCUGUUUCAUUCCAUGAUAAGGAAGAGAACUAAUG
RNAcentral lists this unclassified non-coding RNA (306 nucleotides) under Hevea brasiliensis (rubber tree). The record is from RNAcentral. Lineage: Eukaryota; Viridiplantae; Streptophyta; Magnoliopsida; Malpighiales; Euphorbiaceae.